UACGUAGGGGGCAAGCGUUGUCCGGAUUUAUUGGGCGUAAAGAGCGUGUAGGCGGCCAUACAGGUCAGCUGUGAAAACUCGAGGCUCAACCUCGAGACGUCGGUUGAAACCGUAUGGCUAGAGUCCGGAAGAGGAGAGUGGAAUUCCCGGUGUAGCGGUGAAAUGCGCAGAUAUCGGGAGGAACACCGGUGGCGAAGGCGGGUCUCUGGGCAGUAACUGACGCUGAGGAGCGAAAGCGUGGGGAGCGAACAGG
RNAcentral lists this ribosomal RNA (253 nucleotides) under uncultured bacterium. RNAcentral describes it as "partial 16S ribosomal RNA". It matches the Rfam family "Bacterial small subunit ribosomal RNA", at positions 524 to 776 of the family's 1533-position model. The record is from RNAcentral.